GUGAAUCAUCAAAUCUUUGAACGCAAAUUGCACUCUCUUCGGAGAGUAUGCCUGUUUGAGGGUCAGCCUAAAAAAAAAUCGGCAUAGUCGCUGUUUCUCGGUGACAUUCGUCGGACAUUUGGUCAUCUUAAACCUUUUGGUUUUAAGCUGCUUAAAAUUUUCUUUACGAUUCUGCGAACGUUUCUUAG
RNAcentral lists this unclassified non-coding RNA (188 nucleotides) under Glomus sp. RNAcentral's name for it is "partial contains 5.8S ribosomal RNA and internal transcribed spacer 2". The stretch from base 1 to 65 matches the Rfam family "5.8S ribosomal RNA", at positions 84 to 154 of the family's 154-position model. The record is from RNAcentral. Lineage: Eukaryota; Fungi; Glomeromycota; Glomeromycetes; Glomerales; Glomeraceae.